AGUCUUAUAUUCAAAUAUGAUUUUAAAUUGCAAAUUUAAAGGUGGGCUUCUCCUAAGGCUU
This 61-nucleotide transfer RNA is filed under the name Hydrophilidae sp. BMNH 1274734. Its description in RNAcentral is "tRNA-Cys". Lineage: Eukaryota; Metazoa; Arthropoda; Insecta; Coleoptera; Hydrophilidae. The record is from RNAcentral.